AUACGGAGGAUGCGAGCGUUAUCCGGAUUUAUUGGGUUUAAAGGGUGCGUAGGCUGUGCGUUAAGUCAGGGGUGAAAUGCCGUCGCUCAACGACGGAGCUGCCCUUGAUACUGGCGUGCUGGAGUACGGAUGCCGUUGGAGGAAUGAGUGGUGUAGCGGUGAAAUGCUUAGAUAUCACUCAGAACACCGAUUGCGAAGGCUUCUGACGAAUCCGUCGCUGACGCUGAGGCACGAAAGCGUGGGGAUAUAACAGGAUUAGAUACCCUGGUAUUCCACGCCGUAAACGAUGAUGACUAACCGUCGGCGAUAGACAGCCGGUGGCCAAGCGAAAGCGAUAAGUCAUCCACCUGGGGAGUACGUCGGCAACGAUGAAACUCAAAGGAAUUGACGGGG
This 393-nucleotide ribosomal RNA is filed under the name uncultured bacterium. RNAcentral describes it as "partial 16S ribosomal RNA". It matches the Rfam family "Bacterial small subunit ribosomal RNA", at positions 523 to 918 of the family's 1533-position model. The record is from RNAcentral.